This 425-nucleotide ribosomal RNA is filed under the name uncultured bacterium. Its description in RNAcentral is "SSU rRNA". It matches the Rfam family "Bacterial small subunit ribosomal RNA", at positions 368 to 808 of the family's 1533-position model. The record is from RNAcentral.
GCAUGGGGGGAACCCUGACCCAGCAACGCCGCGUGGAGGAAGAAGGUUUUCNUNAAANUAAACUCCNGAANUUGGAGACGAGUAGAAGACGGUAUCCANUNAGGAAGCCCCGGCUAACUACGUGCCAGCAGCCGCGGUAAAACGUAGGUCACAAGCGUUGUCCGGAAUUACUGGGUGUAAAGGGUGCGUAGGCGGCUUUGCAAGUCAGAUGUGAAAUCUAUGGGCUCAACCCAUAGCCUGCAUUUGAAACUGCAGAGCUUGAGUGAAGUAGAGGCAGGCGGAAUUCCCCGUGUAGCGGUGAAAUGCGUAGAGAUGGGGAGGAACACCAGUGGCGAAGGCGGCCUACUGGGCACCAACUGACGCUGAGGCUCGAAAGUGUGGGUAGCAAACAGGAUUAGAUACCCUGGUAGUCCAAGGGCGAAUUC